GACGUAGGGCGCGAGCGUUGUCCGGAUUUAUUGGGCGUAAAGAGCUCGUAGGCGGCUCGUUGCGUCGGCUGUGAAAACCCGCAGCUCAACUGUGGGCUUGCAGCCGAUACGGGCGGGCUGGAGUUCGGUAGGGGAGACUGGAAUUCCUGGUGUAGCGGUGGAAUGCGCAGAUAUCAGGAGGAACACCGGUGGCGAAGGCGGGUCUCUGGGCAGUAACUGACGCUGAGGAGCGAAAGCGUGGGGAGCGAACAGG
Molecule: ribosomal RNA, 253 nt
Filed under: uncultured bacterium
Lineage: Bacteria
Description: partial 16S ribosomal RNA
Rfam family: Bacterial small subunit ribosomal RNA
Source: RNAcentral